RNAcentral lists this ribosomal RNA (1670 nucleotides) under Hyphessobrycon elachys. Its description in RNAcentral is "16S ribosomal RNA". It matches the Rfam family "Bacterial large subunit ribosomal RNA". The record is from RNAcentral. Lineage: Eukaryota; Metazoa; Chordata; Actinopteri; Characiformes; Acestrorhamphidae.
GCUAAAUAACUAGCUUAACCAUUAAAUUUAUAUCACAAUAUUUAUUAGUUUUAUUUAACACUCUGUUAAUAAAUUAAAUCAUUCUCCCGCUCUAGUAUGGGUGACAGAAAAAGCACUAAAAGCAAUAGAACCAGUACCGCAAGGGAAAGUUGAAAGAGAAAUGAAAAAAACCAUUUAAGCCUAAAAAAGUAGAGAUUAAUACUCGUACCUUUUGCAUCAUGAUUUAGUUAGAAUACUGGGGGCAAAGAGAAACUUUAGUUCCCCACCCCGAAACCAGGUGAGCUACCCCGAGACAGCCUAUAUUAGGGCCAACCCGUCUCUGUGGCAAAAGAGUGGGAAGAUCUCCGGGUAGCGGUGACAGACCUAUCGAACUUGGUGAUAGCUGGUUGCCUAAAAAAUGGAUAUAAGUUCAGCCUUGUACUCCUCCCCCCAUGAAAACACGCUGUCUAAUGGGAUGAAGAAAACUACAAGAGUUAGUCAAAGGGGGUACAGCCCCUUUGAACCAGGAUACAACCUGUCCAGGAGGUAAAAGAUUACUUAUUAAGAUAUAUCGCUUCAGUGGGCCUAAAAGCAGCCACCUGUACAGAAAGCGUUAAAGCUCUAGCGGGUGAAAAAUCUAUUAUUCUUAUAUUUUACUCCUAAACCCCUAAUUCUAUUAGGCCACCCCAUGCUCACAUGGGGGAGAUACUGCUAAAAUGAGUAACAAGAAGAUAAACCCUUCUCCUUAUCUAAGUGUAAAUUAGAUCGGACCUACCACUAAUAAUUAACGAACCCAACCAAAGAGGGAAAAGUAACCUUACAAAAAACCUAGAAAACUUUACACCAACCAAUCGUUAAUCCCACACUGGAAAACUUCAAGGAAAGAUUAAAAGAAAGGGAAGGAACUCGGCAAACACAAGCCUCGCCUGUUUACCAAAAACAUCGCCUCCUGCAAUAACCAACGUAUAAGAGGUCCUGCCUGCCCAGUGAUUAAAUUUAACGGCCGCGGUAUUUUGACCGUGCAAAGGUAGCGCAAUCACUUGUUUUUUAAAUAAAGACCUGUAUGAAUGGUGAAACGAGGGCUUAACUGUCUCCCCUCUCUAAUCAGUGAAAUUAAUCUACCCGUGCAGAAGCGGGUAUACAUUUACAAGACGAGAAGACCCUAUGGAGCUUUAGACACAAAAUCACCUAUGUUAAAAACCCUUUUUAAAAGCAUUAAACAAAAUAGUAACUGAUUGACGUCUUCGAUUGGGGCGAUCGAGGGGGAGAAUAAAUCCCCCAUGUGGUAUAAGACAUUUUUCUCUAAACCAUGAGGCACACCUCUAAGUCACAGAACCUCUGACCCAAAGAUCCGGUAGUUACCGAUCAACGGACCAAGUUACCCUAGGGAUAACAGCGCAAUCCUCUCCAAGAGUCCAUAUCGACAAGAGGGUUUACGACCUCGAUGUUGGAUCAGGACAUCCUAAUGGUGUAGCCGCUAUUAAGGGUUCGUUUGUUCAACGAUUAAAGUCCUACGUGAUCUGAGUUCAGACCGGAGUAAUCCAGGUCAGUUUCUAUCUGUAAAACUAUAUCUUCUAGUACGAAAGGACCGAAGACAUAAGGCCUAUAUUCCAAUAUGCCCUACCUCUACUUAAUGAAACCAUCUCAACUAAACAAAGAGGAGUAUAAAGUUAACCAUAGAUACCUGGAAC